Molecule: small nuclear RNA, 104 nt
Organism: Pteronotus mesoamericanus
Lineage: Eukaryota; Metazoa; Chordata; Mammalia; Chiroptera; Mormoopidae
Source: RefSeq, a predicted model, not a curated record
GUGCUCGCUCCAGCAGUGCAUAUACUAAAACUGGAACAAUACAGAGAUUAACAUGGCCCCUGUGCAAGGAUGAGACACAUAUUUGUGAAGUGUCCUGUAUAUUC